This 340-nucleotide unclassified non-coding RNA is filed under the name soil metagenome. Its description in RNAcentral is "partial contains 5.8S ribosomal RNA, internal transcribed spacer 2, and large subunit ribosomal RNA". The stretch from base 1 to 120 matches the Rfam family "5.8S ribosomal RNA", at positions 35 to 154 of the family's 154-position model. The record is from RNAcentral.
GAUGAAGAACGUAGCGAAAUGCGAUAAGUAGUGUGAAUUGCAGAAUUCAGUGAAUCAUCGAAUCUUUGAACGCACAUUGCGCCUUUUGGUAGUCCAAAGGACAUGCCUGUUCGAGCGUCAUUUGUACCCUCAAGCUUUGCUUGGUGUUGGGCGUCUUGUCUCUAGCUUUGCUGGAGACUCGCCUUAAAGUAAUUGGCAGCCGGCCUACUGGUUUCGGAGCGCAGCACAAGUCGCACUCUCUAUCAGCAAAGGUCUAGCAUCCAUUAAGCCUUUUUUUCAACUUUUGACCUCGGAUCAGGUAGGGAUACCCGCUGAACUUAAGCAUAUCAAUAAGCGAGGA